GUGAAUCAUCAAAUUUUUGAACGCAAAUUGCACUCUCCGGUUUUCCGGGAGAGUAUGCCUGUUUGAGGGUCGGCCUAAAAAAAAUCGACAUUGUUGCUGUUAUUUAAUGGUGACUUUCGUCGGAGAUUGGGUUAUCUUAAACCUUUUUUUUUUUUUUUGGUUUAGGGACUUUAAAUUUUUUUUUCCGAUUUCAUUGACGUUUUUUAA
RNAcentral lists this unclassified non-coding RNA (207 nucleotides) under Glomeraceae sp. RNAcentral describes it as "partial contains 5.8S ribosomal RNA and internal transcribed spacer 2". The stretch from base 1 to 72 matches the Rfam family "5.8S ribosomal RNA", at positions 84 to 154 of the family's 154-position model. Lineage: Eukaryota; Fungi; Glomeromycota; Glomeromycetes; Glomerales; Glomeraceae. The record is from RNAcentral.